This 241-nucleotide ribosomal RNA is filed under the name uncultured bacterium. RNAcentral describes it as "partial 16S ribosomal RNA". It matches the Rfam family "Bacterial small subunit ribosomal RNA", at positions 111 to 353 of the family's 1533-position model. The record is from RNAcentral.
UAAUGUCUGGGAAACUGCCUGAUGGAGGGGGAGUAACUACUGGAAACGGUAGCUAAUACCGCAUAACGUCGCAAGACCAAAGAGGGGGACCUUCGGGCCUCUUGCCAUCGGAUGUGCCCAGAUGGGAUUAGCUAGUAGGUGGGGUAACGGCUCACCUAGGCGACGAUCCCUAGCUGGUCUGAGAGGAUGACCAGCCACACUGGAACUGAGACACGGUCCAGACUCUACGGGAGGCAGCAUG